GGUUCUAUGGUAUAGUGGUUGGCACUCUGGACUUUGAAUCCAGCGACCUGGGUUCAACUCCUAGUAGGACCU
Nelumbo nucifera (sacred lotus) is the source of this 72-nucleotide non-coding RNA. NCBI's taxonomy places the organism in Eukaryota, Viridiplantae, Streptophyta, Magnoliopsida, Proteales, Nelumbonaceae. The record is from Rfam.